GACGAACGCUGGCUGCGUGCUUAACACAUGCAAGUCGAACGAUGAACCCGGAGCUUGCUCCGGCGGAUUAGUGGCGAACGGGUGAGUAACACGUGAGUAACCUGCCCUUGACUCUGGGAUAACUGCGGGAAACUGUAGCUAAUACCGGAUACGACCCUCGGCGGCAUCGCCAGGGGGUGGAAAGAAUUUCGGUCAAGGAUGGACUCGCGGCCUAUCAGCUAGUUGGUGAGGUAACGGCUCACCAAGGCGACGACGGGUAGCCGGCCUGAGAGGGGGACCGGCCACGCUGGGACUGAGACACGGCCCAGACUCCUACGGGAGGCAGCAGUGGGGAAUAUUGCACAAUGGGCGCAAGCCGGAUGCAGCAACGCCGCGUGAGGGAUGACGGCCUUCGGGUUGUAAACCUCUUUUAGUAGGGAAGAAGCGAAAGUGACGGUACCUGCAGAAAAAGCACCGGCUAACUACGUGCCAGCCGCCGCCGUAA
This 484-nucleotide ribosomal RNA is filed under the name uncultured bacterium. Its description in RNAcentral is "partial 16S ribosomal RNA". It matches the Rfam family "Bacterial small subunit ribosomal RNA", at positions 28 to 523 of the family's 1533-position model. The record is from RNAcentral.